Molecule: unclassified non-coding RNA, 2451 nt
Filed under: Hevea brasiliensis (rubber tree)
Lineage: Eukaryota; Viridiplantae; Streptophyta; Magnoliopsida; Malpighiales; Euphorbiaceae
Source: RNAcentral
UCAACCUAUUAGGACUGCUUUUAUCAGUCUCCAUAUCCAAACACUUGCUCAAAUUAAGCAUUUCUCCUAGCUUUAAUUGCUCAUGAUUUUCCUUCACUUCCUUUAGUUAUCCACAUAAUUAAUGUUUUUCUAUAUAUUUUCUCUGCAAAUCCAUUUAAUUUUUGUUGUCAGCUUCCCAUUCAUUCUGCCAGACUAUUUCAAUUUCCAUCCUUUUUCUGAAUUGUGAGUUAUUUCCUUUAGGUUAAACAAAAACCAUGUCAGAGAGAGCCAAUGAUGUCUAUGUAGACAUCUCGGAUCAACCGAAUGGAUCUUCAGGAUCCAAGGGUGAUGUCUACAAAAUGUUGAAAACGUUGAUCUUUAUUGAAUCAACGAUAUUUGUGUGCAUUAUGGGGCUCUUAAUCACUACCUUGACGGUGGAUAGAUUGCGGAAUUCCAGGAUUUGGGAUUUUGAGAUGUGGAAAUGGUGUUUCUUAAUACUGGCUGUUCUCUGCGGUAGACUGAUUGGUUACCUGUUAACGCUGGCUUUGGUUAAGUUGAUUUGGAAGUUCUGUUCAUGGAGGCAGUGGGUUGAGAGAGAACUUUACUUCGCAUAUGGAGUAAAGAAGAGCAUCAUUGUUUUUAUAUGGCUGGCUUUGGUUUUCCUAGCUUGGGCUCUACUGUUUAACAGUGGGGUUAAGCGAAGCAAGGAUGUGAAAAAGAUUGUAAAUGAUGUUACUAGAGGUCUUGCUGGUUGUCUCAUUGGAGUUGCUAUAUGGUCAGUCAAAACUUUGUUAGUUAAGCUUCUAGCUUCUUUCCAUGUGCAGACUUUGUUUCAUAGGGUUAAGGAAGCAAACUACAAUCGUAAGAUCCUUGAAGCUUUUUCAAAAAAGAAAAAGGUCCAGCAAGACACAAGGGAAGAGUUGUUGAAUGCGAUCCGGGAUAAAAAGCUGCCUCCUCUCUUCGGUGAUUGUGACGUGAGUAAAGAGAUCAACAUAGAAGGUGAGGACGGAGCGAAAAAAGCCGCUAAUGAGAUUUUCAAGAAACUCGCGAAGAAGACUAAUGGUGAAAAAAGACAGAGCGCACGGGGAAUAGGGGAAGGGAGGCAGAGCAUGAUGGUGGAAGGGAUGCAGAGCAUUGGCAACAUACCUAACCUAAGCCCCCAAUCGUCGCUGCCAGUCACCUCCAAUCACCAUCGCGAGCCGUCUCCGCCAACCACUUCCAGAGGUAAGUACAUGCCCUUGAAAGACCUACUUGACUGCAUAGAAAAAGAACUAGUGUGUCCCGCUUGUCAACUGGUAAAGAAAAAAAUGUGCAUCCAUUGCCAAGUGGUAAAGGAAACGCGUAAACAUUUCCUAGCGUUGGCAGAAGAUAUAUCCUUCAAGGAUUGGGUUGAACAAAUUUUAAAAUAUCAUCGCGGAGUUGUAGCAGAUGAUAAAGCUGCAGAGGAAGAUAAAAAACGGAUAAAGAAAUCAGUCUUCAGAAAUUGGGUGGUUAAAGUUUACAAGGACUAUGAAUCGGUAAAUAGCGCCUUGAAGUAUAGAAAAACAGCAGUUGACGAGUUGAACAAGCUUGCUUCUGUGGUGGUGCUUUUUGUAAUCAUUAUUGUGUGGUUACUUUUCAUGGAAUAUUUAAGCAUCAAAAUAGUUGUCUUCAUCACUUCUCAACUUUUACUUGUGGCUUUCAUGUUUGGUAACACUGCCAAGACUGUAUUUGAAGCCAUCAUAUUUGUGUUUGUGAUGCACCCAUUUGAAAUUGGCGAUCGUUGUCUAAUUGAUGACAAACAGAUGAUUGUUGAUGAGAUGGAAAUAUUAACUACAACCUUCUUGGGAUCUGAUAAUGCAAGAAUAUGCUAUCCGAAUUCAGUUUUAGCUACCAAAUCUAUCAGCAACUUUUAUAGAAGCCCGCCGCCAAUGUUAGAUUCACUGGAAUUUGCUAUUCGUCGUGAUACGGAAAUCGAACUGAUUAAAGAGCUGCAAUUUGUAAUAAAAAAGUACUUGGAGAGCAAUCCUAGACGCUGGCGACCUGACCACAGCUUACAAUUCAAGGAGAUUGAGGGUGAUAAUAUGAAAGUGAUUCUCUAUUUUAAUCACACCUUAAACUUCCAUGAUGCUGCAAAGAGAGACAAACGAAGAUCUGAUCUGGUGUUAGAUAUGAACACAAUUUUCGAAGUUCUUGGGAUUAAAGAUAAAGAUCUUUCGCCUCUGCAGUUUCACCUUAACUCUAUUGGGUCAAUGGCCUCAGCAUUUCCACCUCCUUUCAUGAGGACUGCCUUCCUUUGAAUUACCCUUCGCUCUCUUAUGGUGUUAGAAGCCUUCAGUUCCUUGUUGAUUACUACUUUUUUUCCCUGUCGCUUUAAAUGACUAUGUUAUGCCAUAAUGAUUUGGAAUAUUAUGUUCAUCUAUAGAAAAUUGCUAAAAAUUUGAGUUUAUGAGUUGAGUAUGGAGUGAACUGGCCGCAUUUUUGUCAAAGUUU